RNAcentral lists this unclassified non-coding RNA (386 nucleotides) under Elsholtzia stachyodes. RNAcentral's name for it is "partial external transcribed spacer". Lineage: Eukaryota; Viridiplantae; Streptophyta; Magnoliopsida; Lamiales; Lamiaceae. The record is from RNAcentral.
AACAUCUCCUUCUCGCCUCUUCAUUUGUUGGUGCGAGCAUGUUCUCGGCCAAAAUCGGGUUGCCUGUGCUAGAUACCUAUCUCGAAGGAAUUUUGUUGGCUAUAAUUGUUGGCUUUCCGUGGUGUGCCGCUGCUCCUUGCGGGGAAAGUGGUGUGCUGCGGACCUCAAGGCACUCGCCGUGUUUCACACCGUGUCCACCUAUACAGGUGUUUCGGUUGAUGAGCCACGUCGCAAUGCUCGAUAUCUCGGGUGCGGAACAUCAUGUGGGUACGAGGCUUUUGCCUCCGAUCACCACAACAACAAGCGUUCUAUGCUUUGUGCGAACGACUGUUGGCUCGGUCUUUAAACGAGCUCUAGUAGCUCGAAUGGAGUCGAGCCGACGUCGG